CUGGCGGCAUGCCUAAGACAUGCAAGUCGAACGAGACGGCCCGUUGAAGACUGCGUACUUGUACAAAGUUGGAUUCGGUUCCCCGUCUAGUGGCGCAAGGGUGAGUAACACGUGGGUAAUCUACCUUCGAGUCUGGAAUAACAGUUAGAAAUGAUUGCUAAUGCCGGAUUAUAUUUAGAGAGGUACGUCUUUCUAAAUUAAAAGGAGCCUUUAAAGCUUCGCUUGAAGAUGAGCCUGCGCCGUAUUAGCUAGUUGGUGGGGUAAAGGCCUACCAAGGCGACGAUGCGUAGCCGACCUGAGAGGGUGAUCGGCCACACUGGGACUGAGACACGGCCCCAGACUCCUACGGGAGACAGCAGUUAGGAAUAUUCGUCAAUGGGGGAAACCCUGAACGAGCAAUGCCGCGUGAAGGAUGACGGUCCUAUGGAUUGUAAACUUCUGUUGUUAGGGAAGAACGACCUGUGUAGGAAAUGACACAGGAGUGACGGUACCUUUCAAGAAAGCUCCGGCUAACUACGUG
This 520-nucleotide ribosomal RNA is filed under the name uncultured bacterium. RNAcentral's name for it is "bacterial SSU rRNA". It matches the Rfam family "Bacterial small subunit ribosomal RNA", at positions 36 to 507 of the family's 1533-position model. The record is from RNAcentral.